UACGGGGGGGGCAAGCGUUGUUCGGAAUUACUGGGCGUAAAGGGCUCGUAGGCGGCCAACUAAGUCGGACGUGAAAUCCCCAGGCUCAACCUGGGAACUGCGUCCGAUACUGGAUGGCUUGAAUCCGGGAGAGGGAUGCAGAAUUCCAGGUGUAGCGGUGAAAUGCGUAGAUAUCUGGAGGAAUACCGGUGGCGAAGGCGGCAUCCUGGACCGGCAUUGACGCUCAGGCGCGAAAGCUAGGGGAGCGAACAGG
Molecule: ribosomal RNA, 253 nt
Filed under: uncultured bacterium
Lineage: Bacteria
Description: partial 16S ribosomal RNA
Rfam family: Bacterial small subunit ribosomal RNA
Source: RNAcentral